CUGGAACGCGCCCCAGGCGCACCCAGAAACCCUUUGUGAACUUAUACCUUACUGUUGCCUCGGCGCAUGCCGGCCCCCCUGGGGGCCCCUCCUUCUGGAGGAGCAGGCACGCCGGCGGCCAACCUAACUCUUGUUUUUACACUGAAACUCUGAGAAUAAAACAUAAAUGAAUCAAAACUUUCAACAACGGAUCUCUUGGUUCUGGCAUCGAUGAAGAACGCAGCGAAAUGCGAUAAGUAAUGUGAAUUGCAGAAUUCAGUGAAUCAUCGAAUCUUUGAACGCACAUUGCGCCCUCUGGUAUUCCGGAGGGCAUGCCUGUUCGAGCGUCAUUUCAACCCUCAAGCCUGGCUUGGUGAUGGGGCACUGCUUCUUACCCAAGAAGCAGGCCCUGAAAUUCAGUGGCGAGCUCGCCAGGACCCCGAGCGCAGUAGUUAAACCCUCGCUCUGGAAGGCCCUGGCGGUGCCCUGCCGUUAAACCCCCAACUUCUGAAAAU
RNAcentral lists this ribosomal RNA (494 nucleotides) under Diaporthe sp. Eho002. RNAcentral's name for it is "eukaryotic LSU rRNA". The stretch from base 176 to 329 matches the Rfam family "5.8S ribosomal RNA". Lineage: Eukaryota; Fungi; Ascomycota; Sordariomycetes; Diaporthales; Diaporthaceae. The record is from RNAcentral. RNAcentral also lists the same sequence under 3 other names.